GACGAACGCUGGCGGCGUGCUUAACACAUGCAAGUCGAACGGAAAGGCCCUGCUUUUGUGGGGUGCUCGAGUGGCGAACGGGUGAGUAACACGUGAGUAACCUGCCCUUGACUUUGGGAUAACGUCAGGAAACUGGGGCUAAUACCGGAUAGGAGCUCCUGCUGCAUGGUGGGGGUUGGAAAGUUUCGGCGGUUGGGGAUGGACUCGCGGCUUAUCAGCUUGUUGGUGGGGUAGUGGCUUACCAAGGCUUUGACGGGUAGCCGGCCUGAGAGGGUGACCGGCCACAUUGGGACUGAGAUACGGCCCAGACUCCUACGGGAGGCAGCAGUGGGGAAUAUUGCACAAUGGGCGGAAGCCGGAUGCAGCAACGCCGCGUGCGGGAUGACGGCCUUCGGGUUGUAAACCGCUUUCGCCUGUGACGAAGCGUGAGUGACGGUAAUGGGUAAAGAAGCACCGGCUAACUACGU
This 467-nucleotide ribosomal RNA is filed under the name uncultured bacterium. RNAcentral's name for it is "partial 16S ribosomal RNA". It matches the Rfam family "Bacterial small subunit ribosomal RNA", at positions 28 to 506 of the family's 1533-position model. The record is from RNAcentral.